CAUUACCGAGUUUACAACUCCCAAACCCCUGUGAACAUACCAAUUGUUGCCUCGGCGGAUCAGCCCGCUCCCGGUAAAACGGGACGGCCCGCCAGAGGACCCCUAAACUCUGUUUCUAUAUGUAACUUCUGAGUAAAACCAUAAAUAAAUCAAAACUUUCAACAACGGAUCUCUUGGUUCUGGCAUCGAUGAAGAACGCAGCAAAAUGCGAUAAGUAAUGUGAAUUGCAGAAUUCAGUGAAUCAUCGAAUCUUUGAACGCACAUUGCGCCCGCCAGUAUUCUGGCGGGCAUGCCUGUUCGAGCGUCAUUUCAACCCUCAAGCCCAGCUUGGUGUUGGGACUCGCGAGUCAAAUCGCGUUCCCCAAAUUGAUUGGCGGUCACGUCGAGCUUCCAUAGCGUAGUAGUAAAACCCUCGUUACUGGUAAUCGUCGCGGCCACGCCGUUAAACCCCAACUUCUGAAUGUUGACCUCGGAUCAGGUAGGAAUACCCGCUGAACUUAAGCAU
This 505-nucleotide ribosomal RNA is filed under the name Fusarium sp. F37. Its description in RNAcentral is "eukaryotic LSU rRNA". The stretch from base 154 to 307 matches the Rfam family "5.8S ribosomal RNA". Lineage: Eukaryota; Fungi; Ascomycota; Sordariomycetes; Hypocreales; Nectriaceae. The record is from RNAcentral.